This 501-nucleotide ribosomal RNA is filed under the name uncultured Glomus. RNAcentral's name for it is "SSU rRNA". It matches the Rfam family "Eukaryotic small subunit ribosomal RNA", at positions 591 to 1092 of the family's 1831-position model. Lineage: Eukaryota; Fungi; Glomeromycota; Glomeromycetes; Glomerales; Glomeraceae. The record is from RNAcentral.
CCAAUAGCGUAUAUUAAAGUUGUUGCAGUUAAAAAGCUCGUAGUUGAAUUUCGGGAUCAAUACGUCGGUCGUGCUUUCGGGUACGUACUGGCGUCAUUGGUUUCUCCUUUCUGACGAACCAUGAUGUCAUUAAUUUGGUGUUAUGGGGAGUUAGGACUGUUACUUUGAAAAAAUUAGAGUGUUUAAAGCAGGCAUUAGCUUGAAUACAUUAGCAUGGAAUAAUGAAAUAGGACGUUCGAUCCUAUUUUGUUGGUUUCUAGGAUCAACGUAAUGAUUAAUAGGGAUAGUGGGGGGCAUUAGUAUUCAAUUGUCAGAGGUGAAAUUCUUGGAUUUAUUGAAGACUAACUACUGCGAAAGCAUUUGCCAAGGAUGUUUUCAUUAAUCAAGAACGAAAGUUAGGGGAUCGAAGACGAUCAGAUACCGUCGUAGUCUUAACCAUAAACUAUGCCGACUAGGGAUCGGAUGACGUUAAUUUUUUAAUGACUCAUUCGGCGCCUUACG